Molecule: ribosomal RNA, 432 nt
Filed under: uncultured bacterium
Lineage: Bacteria
Description: bacterial SSU rRNA
Rfam family: Bacterial small subunit ribosomal RNA
Source: RNAcentral
AGCGAACGCUGGCGGCAGGCCUAAUACAUGCAAGUCGAGCGCCCCUUCGGGGGAGCGGCGGACGGGUGAGUAACGCGUGGGAACGUGCCCUUUGGUACGGAACAACUGAGGGAAACUUCAGCUAAUACCGUAUGUGCCCUUCGGGGGUAAAGAUUUAUCGCCAUUGGAGCGGCCCGCGUUGGAUUAGGUAGUUGGUGAGGUAAAGGCUCACCAAGCCUACGAUCCAUAGCUGGUCUGAGAGGAUGAUCAGCCACACUGGGACUGAGACACGGCCCAGACUCCUACGGGAGGCAGCAGUAGGGAAUCUUGCGCAAUGGGCGAAAGCCUGACGCAGCCAUGCCGCGUGAAUGAUGAAGGUCUUAGAUUGUAAAUUCUUUCACCGGGAAGAUAAUGACGGUACCCGGAGAAGAAGCCCCGGCUAACUUCGUGCCA